Molecule: ribosomal RNA, 497 nt
Filed under: uncultured bacterium
Lineage: Bacteria
Description: partial 16S ribosomal RNA
Rfam family: Bacterial small subunit ribosomal RNA
Source: RNAcentral
GAUGAACGCUGGCGGCGUGCCUAAUACAUGUAAGUCGAGCGAACAGACGAGGAGCUUGCUCCUUUGACGUUAGCGGCGGACGGGUGAGUAACACGUAGGUAACCUACCUAUAAGACUGGGAUAACUUCGGGAAACCGGAGCUAAUACCGGAUAAUAUUUCGAACCGCAUGGUUCGAUAGUGAAAGAUGGCUUUGCUAUCACUUAUAGAUGGACCUGCGCCGUAUUAGCUAGUUGGUAAGGUAACGGCUUACCAAGGCAACGAUACGUAGCCGACCUGAGAGGGUGAUCGGCCACACUGGAACUGAGACACGGUCCAGACUCCUACGGGAGGCAGCAGUAGGGAAUCUUCCGCAAUGGGCGAAAGCCUGACGGAGCAACGCCGCGUGAGUGAUGAAGGUCUUCGGAUCGUAAAACUCUGUUAUUAGGGAAGAACAAACGUGUAAGUAACUGUGCACGUCUUGACGGUACCUAAUCAGAAAGCCACGGCUAACUACGUG